Molecule: long non-coding RNA, 820 nt
Organism: Ziziphus jujuba (common jujube)
Lineage: Eukaryota; Viridiplantae; Streptophyta; Magnoliopsida; Rosales; Rhamnaceae
Exons: 5
Source: RefSeq, a predicted model, not a curated record
UUCAUUUGCGAAUGAUAAAAUUGAUAAUUUCAGCCAAACACAGAAAGAUAAGACCAGGUUACAAAAGGAAGGCUGAACAAGGUAUGGCAUCUGCUAAGAUUGGUCCACCUGCCACCAUGAUGAGUUUUCAGAAUCAGACUUCUACUCGCAGUAUGGAAUAGUUAUAAUAAAAUGAGUGUAAUGGGCAUCGCAUUACCACAUAUGUAUAGGAAUACUUGUUAUCUGUUGGGGAAGAGACACAAGGAAUUGCAAUGCUGUUAUUCCGAGGGGAAAGGGCCUUGCAUCUGUUGCUGCUGCCUGCUAAGUUUGCCAAGGGGCUAUUCCAGAAUUAAGCAUAGACAGCUAGAAUGAGAGAUGCUGAUCAAGCAAAGGAACGGGACAAGCGAGGGUUGUUCAUCGCAUCAUCAAAAAUGCAUAUUUUUAAUUCAUGUCAAAUAUUUUUUAUAUGAAACAAGCAGUACAAUAUUGUUUUAGUUGUCUAAAUAUUCAUUUAGAAAUUAUGUGAAGUUGCUAACUCAUUUACCCAUACUGUCACCUCGAAAAAAAUCCACUCUAUAGACAUAAAUUUUAUUUGUGUUCGUACAAUGAAUUCUCUCAUAUUAUUAGAAAAUUUCAGGUUUAAUAAUUGAUUUAUUUGUAAAAGAAAAUAGUACAGUUGAAUAUGGAGUUAUAUAUUGAAUGCUUAAAUUAGUAUGUAUUUUGCUAAUGUAUUUUACAGCACAGGAAAUAAAAUAAAUUUGCAUUGAGAAGUCCGUUGUUGUAGCAAAUUACUUCUUUUAUAAAAUUGGAGGAUGUUAUGAUAUUAAGAAUUUUUAUGAAA